RNAcentral lists this ribosomal RNA (301 nucleotides) under uncultured bacterium. Its description in RNAcentral is "partial 16S ribosomal RNA". It matches the Rfam family "Bacterial small subunit ribosomal RNA", at positions 509 to 807 of the family's 1533-position model. The record is from RNAcentral.
CAGUCGCCGCGGUAAUACGAAGGGGGCUAGCGUUGUUCGGAUUUACUGGGCGUAAAGCGCACGUAGGCGGACUUUUAAGUCAGGGGUGAAAUCCCGGGGCUCAACCCCGGAAUUGCCUUUGAUACUGGGAGUCUUGAGUUCGAGAGAGGUGAGUGGAAUUGCGAGUGUAGAGGUGAAAUUCGUAGAUAUUCGCAGGAACACCAGUGGCGAAGGCGGCUCACUGGCUCGAUACUGACGCUGAGGUGCGAAAGCGUGGGGAGCAAACAGGAUUAGAUACCCCAGUAGUCCCUGUCUCUUAUAC